RNAcentral lists this ribosomal RNA (353 nucleotides) under uncultured bacterium. RNAcentral's name for it is "bacterial SSU rRNA". It matches the Rfam family "Bacterial small subunit ribosomal RNA", at positions 28 to 409 of the family's 1533-position model. The record is from RNAcentral.
GAUGAACGCUGGCGGCAGGCCUAAAACAUGCAAGUCGAACGCUGUAGCAAUACAGAGUGGCGCACGGGUGAGUAACAUGUGGGAAUAUGCCUAUUGGUACGGAACAACGUUUGGAAACGAACGCUAAUACCGUAUGGUCCCUUCGGGGUAAAGAUUUAUCGCCAAUAGAUUAGCCCGCACUAGAUUAGCUAGUUGGUGAGGUAAGAGCUCACCAAGGCGACGAUCUAUAGCUGGUCUGAGAGGACGAUCAGCCACACUGGGACUGAGACACGGCCCAGACUCCUACGGGAGGCAGCAGUUAGGAAUAUUGGACAAUGGGCGCAAGCCUGAUCCAGCCAUGCCGCGUGAGUGAU